This 6618-nucleotide long non-coding RNA is filed under the name Brassica napus (rape). RNAcentral describes it as "long non-coding RNA (BNAP_LNC022313)". Lineage: Eukaryota; Viridiplantae; Streptophyta; Magnoliopsida; Brassicales; Brassicaceae. The record is from RNAcentral.
AAACGGUAAAGAAGCCCUACUUGAGACCUUCACCUUCAAGAUCACCCCACGAAGACACCACCACCACCAUUACACCCAACUCCAUCUCCGGAAAAGGAUUCAACGGCGGAUCAUGCACAUCACUAGACGGAGCCCGUAUCAGAUCCUCCCAACAAACAGAUCCCGCCCCUACCAAGCGCGGCGGAGAUGUGCUGUUACAGUGGGGACAGCGGAAGCGAUCGAGAGUCUCCAGAGCCGAGAUCCGAUCCUCCACCACCACCGCCACCGCGGCUGCCGAUGACUCUUCGUCUUCUUCUGGACACGGUAAGAUUCAAUCGAACAAGCUUUUAAGAAGAUCUGUAAAUCCGUCUAUGCCACCACCUCCUCCUCCUCAUCCGGUUUCCUCUAACCGGAGCUCAAACCAUAGAAACGGUUUCGUCGGGGGCAAGCAAAUCUUCCUUUCCAGGUUUGGCCCCAAAUCUUCUUCUCUUUAUAAAAUUUCCUAUUUUGAAUAUAUAUUAUUUACCUUAUUUGUAAGAAUAAGCUUUGAUUUGUCUUUUUUUACAGAUUUGUUACUUUUAAAAACUUCUUUAGAUUUUGUGUUACUGUAAAAGUUCAUUUUUCUCUGAUCGUGACUUGUUUCAUUAUUAUUAUGUAUGAUAAAUACUACUGUUUUUCAUUUUCGGGUUUUGAUUUUAAUUAAUUUUGUUUUUUUUUUUAGAUCCAGACUAGGUCUUGUUUGGUUGGUUCCAUCUUCUGUGUUAAAGCAAAGCAUUUAUCAAAGUUGGUGAUCCAAAACUCUUUUUUGGAAGUUACACUAAUACCCUUUGGAUCACACAGAGAAGCUUUUUAUAUUUUAAAAUUAUAUGUUGUUGAAUUCGAUUUAUUUUUUUCAAAUUUUUCAAAGUUUUAUUUUGAAAUUCAAAAUUUUGUUUCAAAACUAGUUUUAUAAUUUUUAUUAUAAAUUUUAAGUAUUUAGUUAUUAUUAUUUUUUAAAUCUUAAACUCCAUCUUCAUAAUUUCACCAUCAAAUUUAAAUCAUAAGUCUAGAUUAAUUAAUCAUAGAGAUAUAAAAUGUAUAUGUAUCUCUUGAAACAUUUUGGUCAUUUCAACUUUUGAAAACUAUAUUUGUGAUAAAAAAAAUUUAGGUCAUCCAAUAAAAUUUCUCUAUAACAAAAUAGGUCAUGUAAAUAUAUAUGUCCGAGGAAUUAUGUAAAUAAUCUAGAUAAUUUCUUUUGUAAUACCAAAAUUAUUAUUCAUAUACUUAUAUAUAUUAUACUUAUAAUUAAUUUUGAUAUAAUAAUAUUACAUUAAUAUAUUUAAUAUAAUUUAUAUCUCUGAUUAAAAUAAAAUGCAUAUUAAACUGUUUUUUUUGUUGAAAUUUUAAAUUGAUUAUCAACAAAGAAAAAAAUACAGGCCACUAAGGUUUAUGCUUUCAUGAAAAGAAACACAAGUCUUAAAGAGAAUAAAACACUAAGAGUACUAAGUAUUCCUAGCAAGCCAUCGCUGCAUCAUGUCGCUGGAGAAGGCUGGCCUCCUGUGUCGGAGAGAAGAGAUCUUGUUCCGAAUGGUCUUGUCAAUGUACCUGACCAUUUGGCUAGCGCUGAGGGGAUUUCCAUUGUACGCCUAUUGUUUCUUUCACGCCAAAUACUAUAAAUGCUAGCUUGGAGAGCAAGCUUGAGGAGGCAAGUAUCGAUCUCCUUCCUGCGAGGAGACAUAAGAGAUGUGACGGUGAUAGCCCAAUCAGGAUUCACUCGAGAUCCCAGCAUGAAACCUACGAGAUAAAUCCAAACCGUAAACGAGUAAGGGCAUGCGAAGUAUAGGUGGUCGCGAGUUUCAUCCGGUUCACCACAAAGGAGGCACGGUUGAAUGCAACCCCAAGCUCUACUUCUCGCACCCGUAGACAGUCUAUCAUGAAACGCCAGCCAUGUGAUGAAAGCAAAUCGAGGUAUGCUUUGUUGAAACCAAACAACUUUAAUCCAAGCUAUCUUAGGGUAGUGAGUCCUAAGUUGCUCCCAUAUUGCUUUACUGCAAAAUGCCGGUUUGUAAACCCCAUCCCCGCAGUGCCAUAGACGACGAUCAUCAGCAGCGUCCUCCGCCGGAGCUGGAACAGAGUUGAUGCAGGACAUCAUCGCCCGUAGGUGAUAGCCACGACACCGAUGAAUGUUCCAUUGUCCACCAAAAGCCGCUUCCAAGACUGUCGCAUAGCGGGGGAUACCUAAGACUUGUAUUCCUAAAUCACCCGUGAUGUUUAAUAGUCGUCCCACACUCAGCCAGUUAUCAAACCAGAAUAAGGUGGUCUCGCCAUUACCAAUCUCUGAUCGGAGGAAUGAAGUUGCUAUGUCCCUGAGUUUCAAAAGUUUUCGCCAUAUCCAAGACCUACGUACUUAUCACUGACGUCCCAGAAACUUUGAGAGCGAAGCAGAUAAACCUUCGUCCAAGCGACCCAAAGGGAACCAGAGUUAGUGAGUAGUCGCCAUAUCAAGCUAAGUGCAAAAACUCGUGAUGUUUCCGUGAGACGUCUAAGGCCUAGACCUCCCUCAUCCUUAGGUCUACAAACAUCAUCCCAAACAACCUUUGCUUUUGUAUGCGUAUUAGGCGAUCCGGACCAUAGGAAUGCAUCACACAUGCUUUCAAUAGUAAUGAGACAGCUCUUUGGAAGACGAAACACAGAGCACCAGAAGUUAGUUAUACUGCCAAUGACUGUUUUCACAAGCUGCAAACGACCAGCAUACGAGAGAGAGCGACUAGACCAUGACACCAGACGCGUGCGUAUCUGAUCAAUCAAUGGUUCGUAAUCUGUUUUGGUCAUUUUCUUCGUGGUGAGUGGGAGACCGAGAUAUCUCACAGAAAGAGAUUCUGUUGGAAUGCCCAGACGCUAAACCUCAUCCUUAAAGUCUUGACUAAUACGGCCAGCCAUAAAUAUAGAAGAUUUAGCUGGAUUAAUCAGUAAGCCAGAGAUACUCGCGAAUUCUGAUAGAACCUCGAACACGCUUUUCAGCGAAGCAGCUGGACCAUCAGUAAAGAUCAUUAGAUCGUCCACAAAGCUUAAGUGUGUCAAGUUUACCUUGCUGCAUGAAGGGUGGUAGCCCUCAAGAAUUAAGCUUUUUGAUUAUUGGUCUUUAUAUUUCUUUCAAAUAUUCAAUCUAAUACUCAUUCACCUUUAAUAUAUUUCUUACUCUUUAAAAAUGUCAUAUCCACUGAAGAAUUAAGUUGUAAAAUUGAACUAAAAUGGAGUUUUCAACAUUUUAGCCUUUUCCAUCAUUUAAAACGUUUAUAUUUGAAAAUAAUUCGAAAUCCAGGUAUUUGGUAGACUUAUGUUAACCUGUCACACAAAAUUUUGUCAGUCGUUUUGAACCAAGCCCAGUCCAACUGAAAUGAUGCGGUAGAAGUAUCAAUUAUCACGGGUCUAAAAACUUCUUGGUUCGGUUAAACCAUAUCCGGUUUCGAUUCCUGGUUUGGAAUCAUCAUAUAGAUUUGAUUAAACCGACCUAUAGCAGCGUCUUCUUCCUCUGAGAGCUUCCCGGACUCGAUUGAUUUGCGCCUCUUGAAAAAUCGGAUCUGAAUAUCUCUUAAGGGCUUCUCAAAGGUUCGCUAAUGAUCUCGUCGCGUUUAUCAUCUUGCAAACUUUAACUGAUCUUUUCGCUUCUGAGUUUGAGAUUCGAUUGAUUUGAUUCUCGACUAGGUUUCACAAUAAAAUGAAGAAUUCUAAAGAUCCGUUUGAAGCAGCGAUAGAGGAGGAGCAAGAGGAAUCGCCGCCGGAAUCACCCGCAGGCGGAGGCGAUGACGAGGAGGGACGGCAUGAAAUCGAGCAGGCUCCGGAAGAGAGUGAGAGAGACGUAGGUGUUCGCCGUCAACCGAAGAAGUUCAAAUCCUCUGUUGCUGUUGCUGACGGGAAGAACAAGGAUGAAGAUGAAGAAGAAGAGGAAGAGAACAUGGAAGCUGAGCUAACCAAGUAUCCAACUACAGCUGAUCCCGCGAAGAUGGCCAAGAUGCAGUGAGUGUUUCUUGAUUUUCUUAUUAAAAACUUGAACAUGAUUGAUUGAUUGUGGGAAUACUUCAGGGUCAUUUUGUCGCAGUUCACUGAGGAUCAGAUGAGCAGAUAUGAAUCUUUUAGGAGAUCUGCGUUUCAAAAAGGAAACAUGAGGAAGGUAAAGUACUGAAAACACAAUCGAAAUCAUCUUGUUGUUUCGGUAAGACAUGAACCAUAUAAGCUUUGCGGUUUCUUUGGAUGCAGUUAUUACAGGGAGUGACAGGGAGUCAGAAGAUCAGUAUGCCAGUUAUAAUCGUUAACUGUGGUAUCGCUAAGAUGUUUGUUGGUGAACUCGUGGAAACGGGUAACAUUUUCGAAAUUUGAACAUAGAAUGUAUGUGAAAGCUUAGUUGCUUGAUGGAACAAAUUGGUUUGCAGCUAGAGUUGUAAUGGGGGAAAGGAACGACUCAGGACCUAUCAGACCAUGCCAUAUCAGAGAGUCCUAUAGGAGACUAAAGCUCGAAGGCAAAGUACCUAAAAGAUCAGUUCCACGUCUUUUCCGCUAGCCAGAGCAAGACCCAAAAGAGAUGUUACUUUCUCAGCCCUAUUAGAUAUGAGUCUACGGGUUUAAGCUGGAGUGAUUUGCCUAUCAGUCCCAUUAGAAAAGUCGAUUAUAUUGUUCUUCGUUGCUGCUAAACUUUGCGAUAACUUUUGCUUUGAAUACCUAUAUGAUCAAUCUAUCUUUGUACACAGGUCUUUUUGCCCUUUAUGUGCUGAUCUGGUGUACUAUAUGCAUUUGGUUUCAGGUUUUCGUUUGUAAUUGGUUCAGUUUUAAUAAUACCGGUUUAUUUUGUUAGUUUGGCUAACCAACAAAUUUUGAUCCGACUUUUGUAUAACCAGACGACCUGUCGAGAAGAAUUUCAGUUUGCAUGUGUUUCUUCUAAGCGUGGGUCUAUUGUCAAAUUGGUAGUAGGGAGUGGAGACGCUUUAAACCACACGUUGCCUGGCUGGGAAAGAGAAACUAUGUAGUGGGCCUUAAGAUGGGCCGGAAUUUGUAACCUAAGGCCGCAUAAUAGACUAUUAUUGCAAAGAUGAUAACCAAUGGGGUGUGAAUUGGAAGUCCACAGAAACUUGGAGGACUGGAAUAGAAAACUUAGAAGAAUAAAAGAAGUAUUAGACACAAUAACGCACCCACUAUCUUUCUCUUCUUCCCUUCCGCCUUCUUCUUCCUCUCCUCCUCACUUUUAACGCAGAGCUUCCGUUUCUUAUUUUCUUCUUCUUCUAUCUCUCUCUCUAUCCCUACAAAAAAAAUUUCUUAACUUAUCAUUCUCUUUCUUAUAUAUUCCUUUUGAUUCUCUGCUAACCGGUACGAGAAAGCAGAACUGCGAGGUGUCUGUGUUUCGCUUGAUCAGAUAUAAAUCACGCGUGGUGAAAAAAUGAACGAAUCGUAGAUUUCUGAAAAUAAUCACAGAUCGAAAAACCAAAAAACAUACCAUUACAAAACUCGAAUCGGGUUUCCACUUGGGGGGUAUAAUGAUGAGGUUUCUCUCUUCUUCUUCUUCUGUAAAUUUUUUUUUUUUUUUUGCCUCUCGGAGUUUUUGUUUUCAUCUUCGCUUUUGUUCUUCUUCCGGACACGCUGACCAUCGGACUGUUUUGAGUUUUUUAUUCUGGUUUUGUUUUGGUUUUAAAUUUAACUAAUGGUUUCUAUGGAUCUGAGGUUUGAUUUGAAAAACUUCAGAUUCAAGUUUUUAUGAAAACCUUUUUAAUCUAUGCAGCAGUUUUCAAUUUGAUCACUAUAUUGAAUCCAGCAGCCAAGUUAUUAAAAUUUUCUGGGGAUCUUUACAAUAAAAAAAAAAUUCAAGAGCUUCUUCUCUCUCAAAGAGUCUGAUUUGGACUAGCCACCAAUAAAGAAAGUCAAAAACAUUUUGAGAAAUUUCACUUAAAAACACAAACGCAUCUUCCUUACGUUUAGCGAUUUUGUAACGCCUGAUCUGAGUUUGCCUGUUUUUGAUUAGGUAUCAGAGAGUAAGCCCAGAUGUUCUCCCCCUCACAAACGGAGCAAAGAAGCCUUACUUGAGACCUUCACCUUCAAGAUCAUCACCCCACGAAGACACCACCACCACCAUUACACCAAACUCCAUCUCCGGGAAAGGAUUCAACGGCGGAUCAUGCACAUCACUAGACGGAGUCCGAAUCAGAUCCUCCCAACAAACAGAUCCCACCCCUACCAAGCGCGGCGGAGAUGUUUUAUUACAGUGGGGACAGCGGAAGCGAUCGAGAGUCUCCAGAGCCGAGAUCCGAUCCUCCACCACCACCGCCACCGCGGCUGCCGAUGACUCUUCGUCUUCUUCUGGACACGGUAAGAUUCAAUCGAACAAGCUUUUAAGAAGAUCUGUAAAUCCGUCUAUGCCACCACCUCCUCCUCCUCAUCCGGUUUCCUCUAACCGGAGCUCAAACCAUAGAAACGGUUUCGUCGGGGGCAAGCAAAUCUUCCUUUCCAGGUUUGGCCCCAAAUCUUCUUCUCUUUAUAAAAUUUCCUAUUUUGAAUAUAUAUUAUUUACCUUAUUUGUAAGAAUAAGCUUUGAUUUGUCUUUUUUUACAGAUUUGUUACUUUUAAAAACUUCUUUAGAUUUUGUGUUACUGUAAAAGUUCAUUUUUCUCUGAUCGU